RNAcentral lists this ribosomal RNA (953 nucleotides) under fungal sp. EA134. RNAcentral describes it as "eukaryotic LSU rRNA". The stretch from base 602 to 755 matches the Rfam family "5.8S ribosomal RNA". Lineage: Eukaryota; Fungi. The record is from RNAcentral.
GUCUUUCCCCGGAUAAGCGGGCACCGAACGUGUGUGUGCUCGAAAUAGCCUCAUUGUAGGCGUUCUCCAGAAGAGAAAAAAAGCCCCAUCCCAACAGGCUGAGACAAUAGCUGCACAGCAUGCCUUGAAUACCAAGCCAUGCUUCAAAUUCAGAUUCAUAUUCCUACAUUCACAUACUAUGCAUCUGUUCUUCUGAUGCCAGACCAGAGUCGUUGUUAAAGUUAAUCAUACAUUGUUUUACUGACGCUGAUGACAACGCAUAAGAAAAAAAAGUUUAUGUUUGUCCUGGUGGCGGCAACCCGCCCAGAAACAACAAGUGCGCAAAAGACAUGGUAAACAAAUAUCUUCAGCCGGCCGCGAAAGCCAGGCCUUCAUAUUUUGUUGGUAAUGAUUCUUUCCGUAGGGGGGACCUGCGGAGGGAUCAUUACACAACAAAAUAUGAAGGCCUGGCUUUCGCGGCCGGCUGAAGUAUUUUUUUCACCCAUGUCUUUUGCGCACUUGUUGUUUCCUGGGCGGGUUCGCCCGCCACCAGGACCAAACCAUAAACCUUUUUUUCUUAUGCAGUUUCCAUCAGCGUCAGUAAAAACAAUGUAAUUAUUACAACUUUCAACAACGGAUCUCUUGGUUCUGGCAUCGAUGAAGAACGCAGCGAAAUGCGAUACGUAGUGUGAAUUGCAGAAUUCAGUGAAUCAUCGAAUCUUUGAACGCACAUUGCGCCCUUUGGUAUUCCAAAGGGCAUGCCUGUUCGAGCGUCAUUUGUACCUUCAAGCUUUGCUUGGUGUUGGGCGUUUUUUUGUCUCCCUCUUUCUGGGAGACUCGCCUUAAAACGAUUGGCAGCCGGCCUACUGGUUUCGGAGCGCAGCACAUUUUUUGCGCUUUGUAUCAGGAGAAAAGGACGGUACUCCAUCAAGACUCUACAUUUUUCACUUUGACCUCGGAUCAGGUUGGAUUCG